Molecule: long non-coding RNA, 1125 nt
Organism: Teleopsis dalmanni
Lineage: Eukaryota; Metazoa; Arthropoda; Insecta; Diptera; Diopsidae
Exons: 4
Source: RefSeq, a predicted model, not a curated record
UUGAAGUGCUUUAACUUGGAGAAGUAAUUCCUUGCUUCAAGAACCAAUAUAAAUUGUUGUAUAGAUGGUAUGGGUAUUAAGACAGAAGAGUAAAGAAAAUGUUCACGUGAUAGUGUUAAUUAAUUAAGCUUAACAUUCUUGUUUAUGUUUAAGAACUGUGUUUUGUGUUUAGAAUAACAAAUGAAACUUCAUGUAAUUCAAUGUUGACGUUUGUGAGGUAGUCCUUUUUGUAAAGAUUUGAUUUUCAAAAUACUAAAAUGUGCUCUUUCAUAUAUUUAAAGGUAUUAAGUCAGAACUCCAGCUAUUUAAUUUGACUAUACUGAAACGAGACAUGGAUUGGUAUCCAGACAUUUCAUGCACUUUUUAAUUUCAUAAUGUUUAAACCGAAGGGAUAAUGCUGGUAUUAUCUUUGGUACGAGUAGCGAACGUCACUUGGUCGUCUGUGUCGCUAAUGAAACUAUUAAUUUCCUUAUUUUUCUAUGGAGUCUAUUUUUCUAUGAAGUGACAAAAACUGCUAACUGUACCGACAAAUUCACUGUUUUUUGAAUACUGAACAUAAACGAAUGGUUUCCGAGUAUUUAAAUAGGAAAUAGAGCAGACAUUUGUUAUAAAACAAAAAUAUUAAAUAUAUACUAAUUAUCAAAGUACUGCGUUACUUUCGUUCUAACAGAUUAUAUAUCAACUUUUUUAAAAAAAAGUAUUGAUUAAACAAUUGUAAAAUACUAGUUAUGAUUUGAGUUGUGAGUUCUUGAGUGGAUAAUUAUCAAUCGGUAGGAGUGUGUUCUAAGAUGAUCUGAAAAAUCAUAAAUAAUAAACUGACUAAUUAUAUAUUAUACUGAGACAAGAUUUUGAUGAUAUAGUGGAUUUUGAUGAUAUAUAUAAACCUAUUCAAGCUAUUAAUCUUAAGUGGUGGAAAUAUGCAGGUCCAUUGCAGAUACUUUCCGCUUAUACAUUGUUGCAAAACUGCAGUUUAUGAUAAGAAUAUUUUUUGUCCAUGUCCAUUGCACAUCUUUUACGAGUUACUACAAUGUUUCGCAAGUUUUCGAAGUGAUUUUAUCAUCACGAUGAUCAUAAAGGCUAAAAGCUUUUUUUAUUUAAUGAGUCAGUCAUUAAACACAAUACAGA